Molecule: long non-coding RNA, 829 nt
Organism: Eleginops maclovinus (Patagonian blennie)
Lineage: Eukaryota; Metazoa; Chordata; Actinopteri; Perciformes; Eleginopidae
Exons: 3
Source: RefSeq, a predicted model, not a curated record
AAUUCCUCUCCCAACAAACAACACCUUCUGAAAUCUGCAGGUUAUCUCAACAUUAGUGAGAUAUUAACGUGACAUUUCCUGCUUUUCAUUCCUGACAUCCUACAAACAAACAAACAAACACAAUCUCUGGUUGUUCGCUGCAGUUUUGCAACACACGCUGCUCAGUGUGUGCGAUGAUCGUGGCUGCAGGGAAUCCUGGACGGAGCUUUAAAACCUGCUGAGCGGUGAUUUAUGACACAGGUGUCUCUUGAGAGUAAAAUGAUGCUUCCCAACCAGAUAAACUCUCCAAUUAUAGGUUAAAACAUUUUGUAGCACCAACAACUCACCCGGACUUUACUGGAUUCCGGAGAGGAUGGCAACUCUUUUGUAGACCCUCUUCAUCUCCUUUUUGAUCCACUCUUUAAACGUAAGAAAAAAAGCACGAUAUUAAAGACAAUAACAUCGUUAAUCAUGUUCUAUACAACUUUAUACAACUGUUUUGUUUUGUCGAGAUUAUGAAAUGUGUGUCAAGAUGUUCAAAUAGAUCACCAAGCAGGGAAGUGUUGCGUAGAUAUGCACAUGGUUUUUCCGUUCACGCAUUCUGAAGCGUGAAAGGAAAGAUAUGAUCAUAAAGCAGAGAGGAAGCUUAAGCUAUGCUAACAUGUUAAACUGAUUAAAUAACUGUGGCAUACUUCCUGUGCCAAAGCAGCGCUGCAGAGAUGAGGCCGAUUGUUGAUCAGGUGAUAUGUGAGCACUGAAGGAGUGCUUUCAGCAGAAUUACUUUUGGCUUGCUCAAGAAUACCAUACAAGCAGUUUUUACUGGAGAAAUCUGAACAUCAGGUUUCCUUUC